AAAGUUUAGCCAAGCAAGCCCAAAAACCUAAGAAAGUAAGAAACAUGGCUUCCAAUUCCACUCCCAUUUCCCAGGUCACAAUUCACACAGUUUGGGAAUUUGGACACUAGAGCUCUGGUGACUGAGGAUUUUUGUGGCUGCUGUGAUCUGAAGAAGUAACAACUGCACUGAUUUGAUGAACAUGAUGCUGGCUUCGUUCCCUGUAUACCCAAAGCCCUUUGCAAGCGUUAGAGCAGAAUUCCGCACACAGCAAUCUUCUUUUCUCAAGUUCGCACCUCAUUCCUAUCCUCUUGCAAGCAAAAUCCUUGUUAAGAAUUUGCCAUAUACUACUGGUGAGACUACUUUGCAAAAGGAAUUUUCGAAUUUUGG
Molecule: non-coding RNA, 369 nt
Organism: Arachis ipaensis
Lineage: Eukaryota; Viridiplantae; Streptophyta; Magnoliopsida; Fabales; Fabaceae
Source: RefSeq, a predicted model, not a curated record